This 999-nucleotide unclassified non-coding RNA is filed under the name Hevea brasiliensis (rubber tree). Lineage: Eukaryota; Viridiplantae; Streptophyta; Magnoliopsida; Malpighiales; Euphorbiaceae. The record is from RNAcentral.
AAAUAUAUUAAAUUUAAUUUUAAUGUUGUUAACAAAUAUAUUUAAAAAGAAAUUUCUUAAUAAUAGUCGAAAAAAGAAAAAAAAAAUUACAAGAAUUGUUUAUUGUGGAGCACCUUCCUCAAGAGGGCAUCACGUCCAGGAAAUGGAUUAUUAAUCUCUGCCGUCCACUCUUGAUCAUCACUCCUUUGUUCUGUUCCAUCUACCCCAUUUACGAAACCAUCCUUGUUCCUCCUUAUAAUCCCCAGCUUCUCCUUUUUCCUGUCGUCCGUGGACCUGAGCCUGGCUCUCUCUCUUCUCUCCUUUCUUCUGAUUUCAGUCUCUGAUAAAAUCCUAUCUUUCUCUUCCUUCUCCGCUCCCAGAUCUUUCAUUUCUUUAACAGUGCUAAAAGAAGAUGACACCGUUCUUGGUAUUCUGCCGCCUUUACUAGUGCCCAAGAGCUCAAAGUUCAAUUUACUCCACCCAACUUUAUCAUCAUUGUCCCAACCAAACCUCUCACUUAUCUCCAACAACAGAGGAACUGCACUAUCCUUUCUAAAAAAAGGGGCAUCUUUGUUUCCAUUCAAGACGCUAUCUGCAAAUUCCCACUCCAAUCUGUCCUGAUAAACUGGGUCUUCAAGAACUUGGUCUGCUAACUUUGCCCAGUGCUCGAAGUCGCCCGCACGAAGGUUCUUGGAAACCCAUUUGAGGUAGGUUGAGGGGAGGGCGCCAAGCAUCUUGCCCUUGUACUUUCCGAAGUCUAUUACACUGUCUCUUGCGGGGAUUAUAUGUGAUUUGGAGGUGUGGGGACGUGGUUUCUUGGGCUUGAAAGAGCAUAUUAUGUUGGGAAAUUUGAAGGUGUACUGAGCGAAAGCCAUGGAGGAGAUGAAAUGCAGAUAGGAGAGAAAUCUUUACUUCCCUUUGCACUUUAUUAGGUUUUGAUGCGACACUGCUGCCAUCACGAUUGAGUUAAUCCUUAUAAGUUUGAAAAGAAAAAGAAAAGAAUAUAAUAUACAUUUGGAA